UAUGUAUUACAUGACAAUUGAUCUGGUAUAAAUACUGAUCAUUGAUAUUGAAAGGAUCUCAGCUAAAGUUUAUUGGACACAACAAGAUGGUGUUAUCAAAAAAAAACCGAGCAAAGCUCGGUCAUCAUCUAGUAUUAUUACAAUAACGAAGAAAAGCAGGCUACGAGCACCUACUCCUACGCCUACGGUGCCUACUCAGGAACACAAGCUAGCGGCUCACCCGAAGUGAAAUAGCCAACGAAACUAAAAGACAACGCAUUAUGAAUCCGGCAUUUACUUGCCUUAUUAAAGACUGUCAAAUCCUGUGAACUGAAAUGUUUAGCUGCAUUAUGGUAAAAAUAGACUGGAUGGUGGAACCCAAACCCAGGAAUGCUCAUGGUUGUUACAGUGUAGUGCGAUUCCCAUACGCAAGUG
Molecule: long non-coding RNA, 414 nt
Organism: Bombyx mori (domestic silkworm)
Lineage: Eukaryota; Metazoa; Arthropoda; Insecta; Lepidoptera; Bombycidae
Exons: 3
Source: RefSeq, a predicted model, not a curated record